RNAcentral lists this ribosomal RNA (254 nucleotides) under uncultured bacterium. Its description in RNAcentral is "partial 16S ribosomal RNA". It matches the Rfam family "Bacterial small subunit ribosomal RNA", at positions 524 to 776 of the family's 1533-position model. The record is from RNAcentral.
UACGUAGGGUGCAAGCGUUUGUCCGGAAUUAUUGGGCGUAAAGAGCUCGUAGGCGGUCUGUCGCGUCGGCUGUGAAAUCCCGGAGCUCAACCCCGAGCCUGCAGUCGAUACGGGCAGACUAGAGUGCUGUAGGGGAGACUGGAAUUCCUGGUGUAGCGGUGGAAUGCGCAGAUAUCAGGAGGAACACCGAUGGCGAAGGCAGUUCUCUGGGCCGUAACUGACGCUGAGGAGCGAAAGCGUGGGGAGCGAACAGG